This 614-nucleotide ribosomal RNA is filed under the name uncultured bacterium. RNAcentral's name for it is "bacterial SSU rRNA". It matches the Rfam family "Bacterial small subunit ribosomal RNA", at positions 254 to 882 of the family's 1533-position model. The record is from RNAcentral.
GAGGUAAAGGCUCACCAAGGCUACGAUCAGUAGCUGGUCUGAGAGGAUGAUCAGCCACACUGGGACUGAGACACGGCCCAGACUCCUACGGGAGGCAGCAGUGGGGAAUCUUGCGCAAUGGGCGAAAGCCUGACGCAGCCAUGCCGCGUGAAUGAAGAAGGCCUUCGGGUCGUAAACCGCUUUCAGCAGGAACGAAAAUGACGGUACUUGCAGAAGAAGGUGCGGCCAACUACGUGCCAGCAGCCGCGGUGACACGUAGGCACCAAGCGUUGUCCGGAUUUAUUGGGCGUAAAGAGCUCGUAGGCGGUUCGGUAAGUCAGGUGUGAAAACUUUGGGCUCAACCCAAAGCCUGCAUUUGAUACUGCUGUGACUAGAGUUCGGUAGGGGAGCGGGGAAUUCCUAGUGUAGCGGUGAAAUGCGCAGAUAUUAGGAGGAACACCGGUGGCGAAGGCGCCGCUCUGGGCCGAUACUGACGCUGAGGAGCGAAAGCGUGGGUAGCAAACAGGAUUAGAUACCCUGGUAGUCCACGCCGUAAACGUUGGGCACUAGGUGUGGGUCUCAACCAACGAGAUCCGCGCCGUCGCUAACGCAUUAAGUGCCCCGCCUGGGGAGUA